Molecule: transfer RNA, 67 nt
Filed under: Rhynchothorax sp. JZ-2022
Lineage: Eukaryota; Metazoa; Arthropoda; Pycnogonida; Pantopoda; Tanystylidae
Description: tRNA-Gly
Source: RNAcentral
ACUUUUUAAGUAUAUAAAGUAUAUUUGAUUUCCAAUCAAAAGGAUUAAAUAAGAAUUAAAAAAAGUA